CUCCUCUCCUCUCCUCCGCUCCCCUCCCCUCUCCUCCCCUCCCCCCCCCCCUCUCCUCUUCUCCCUCCCCUCCCCUCUCUUCUCCUCUCCUCCCCUCCCCUCUCCACAUGCCAGCCGGCAGAAGAGCCCUGUUCCAAUCCAUCCUGGAAUGCUGCUCUGAAGGAUAAUUGCAUCCAUGGCUGCUGUGUUUUUGGUUUGCGUGUGAGGUCUCCCAAAAAACAAAAGGCUGAAAUCUGUGGUAAUCAGGAGGAGUGGGAGAGACGGCGCUAACAGACAAACAAAUGGUUAGCGUUUGUACAGAGAAAAAAUCUCCACCACAUGAGAGAGGGAAUGUUUGUCCCGGUGAAAGAGUGGAAAGGGGGGGGGGGGGGGGUAGAGCGAAAGCAAGAAAGAAAUACAAAGUUGAUGAAGCUGAUCUGAGUCUCGAUGAUGGCUCACAAAUCAGGAGAAUGCAGGAGAAAACAUAGAACUCACAGGAGAACAUGUGGAGCCCACAGAACAUGUGGAACUCACUUGAGAACAUGUGGAACAAACAGAAGAACAUGUGGAACCUACAGAAUGUGUGGAACCCACUGGAAAACACUUGGAACAAACAGGAGAACAUGAGGAACCUACAGGAGGACGUGUGGAACCCUCAAGAGAACAUAUGGAACCCACACUGAAAAGCCCAGGGCAUGUGAUUUCCUUUACAGAAGCAACAUGAAGUUGACGUGUCAAUAAUCACAUGACUCACAUAUAAAUCGACACACUCCGAGCUCCUCCACCACAACACGAUAUCGUUCCUUCUGAAGAGCAGAAGGAAAGAAAGUAAGAAAGAAAAAAGUAAGAAAGGAAGGAAGGAACAGAAGGAAGAAGGAAAGAAAGAAAGAAAGAAGGAAGGAAAGAAAAAAAGAACAGAAGAGCCGUACAUGUUCCUCUGUACAGAGCGAGGGAUUGGCAGCGUCUCUGCUGCUUGUCUUUUCUCCAAACGUGUUUAGUGGCUGAGAAAGUGAAGCGAUCUCUCCUCCAUGUCAGAGUGAAUAAGCUCCAGACUCAUCACCCAGACGUGCUCUCGCUCUUCUGAGUUCUGCGGUGACACUGAGGAACUUUAAAUGCAGGACUGAGUGAGUCUGGGGGCCAACCGCCCCACCGAACCAUGAAACAGAUACACCAACAUCUCAUACAAAUCAUCCUUCUGAGAUUUUAUAUAACAGCCACAGAGCCGUGAUGAAUAUAAACAUUUCAAUAAAACAGCUAGAAUUGAUCCACUCUGAUGUUCCUCUGGUGGUUCUGAGGAACGUAAACUGCUGCGGCUUCUGAAAGAUGAUAUUUUAGAUUUACACACGGGUUUAGAAACUGAUACUAACAUUUUAUUAUCACAUAAAAGCUCAUGAAAACCGAAAUGAGACAAAUAUUAUGAUUUUAUCCUCAACACAGUGAAUAAUAAAACACUGUUUAACACUGCUGCAGGAGGGACAGUCCUCUACUGCCCUCUGCUGGAGGAAAGUGAGACUACAUGUGUCUUACGAGAGAGAGAG
This is a long non-coding RNA of Ictalurus punctatus (channel catfish), 1517 nucleotides long. The record is from Ensembl. Lineage: Eukaryota; Metazoa; Chordata; Actinopteri; Siluriformes; Ictaluridae.